UGAUUAAACCAAGAUGAAGACAGUGCCCAGCACCGAUGGUUCUUUGAGUCAUAGUUAC
RNAcentral lists this small nucleolar RNA (58 nucleotides) under Euglena gracilis. Its description in RNAcentral is "Eg-m91". Lineage: Eukaryota; Euglenozoa; Euglenophyceae; Euglenales; Euglenaceae. The record is from RNAcentral.